Molecule: ribosomal RNA, 561 nt
Filed under: uncultured bacterium
Lineage: Bacteria
Description: bacterial SSU rRNA
Rfam family: Bacterial small subunit ribosomal RNA
Source: RNAcentral
CCUACGGGAGGCAGCAGUGGGGAAUAUUGGACAAUGGGCGAAAGCCUGAUCCAGCAAUGCCGCGUGAGUGAUGAAGGCCUUCGGGUCGUAAAGCUCUUUUACCAGGGAUGAUAAUGACAGUACCUGGAGAAUAAGCUCCGGCUAACUCCGUGCCAGCAGCCGCGGUAAUACGGAGGGAGCUAGCGUUGUUCGGAAUUACUGGGCGUAAAGAGUACGUAGGCGGUUAUUCAAGUCAGAGGUGAAAGCCCGGGGCUCAACCCCGGAACUGCCUUUGAAACUAGAUAACUAGAGUCUUGGAGAGGUUAGUGGAAUUCCGAGUGUAGAGGUGAAAUUCGUAGAUAUUCGGAAGAACACCAGUGGCGAAGGCGACUAACUGGACAAGUACUGGCGCUGAGGUACGAAAGCGUGGGGAGCAAACAGGAUUAGAUACCCUGGUAGUCCACGCCGUAAACGAUGAUAACUAGUUGUUCGGUCACUUGGUGACGUGAGUGACGCAGCUAACGCAUUAAGUUAUCCGCCUGGGGAGUACGGUCGCAAGAUUAAAACUCAAAUGAAUUGACG